GAUGAGAGUUUGAUCCUGGCUCAGAUUGAACGCUGGCGGCAGGCUUAACACAUGCAAGUCGAGCGGAGAUGAGGUGCUUGCACCUUAUCUUAGCGGCGGACGGGUGAGUAAUGCUUAGGAAUCUGCCUAUUAGUGGGGGACAACAUUCCGAAAGGAAUGCUAAUACCGCAUACGUCCUACGGGAGAAAGCAGGGGAUCUUCGGACCUUGCGCUAAUAGAUGAGCCUAAGUCGGAUUAGCUAGUUGGUGGGGUAAAGGCCUACCAAGGCGACGAUCUGUAGCGGGUCUGAGAGGAUGAUCCGCCACACUGGGACUGAGACACGGCCCAGACUCCUACGGGAGGCAGCAGUGGGGAAUAUUGGACAAUGGGGGGAACCCUGAUCCAGCCAUGCCGCGUGUGUGAAGAAGGCCUUAUGGUUGUAAAGCACUUUAAGCGAGGAGGAGGCUACUGAGACUAAUACUCUUGGAUAGUGGACGUUACUCGCAGAAUAAGCACCGGCUAACUCUGUGCCAGCAGCCGCGGUAAUACAGAGGGUGCGAGCGUUAAUCGGAUUUACUGGGCGUAAAGCGUGCGUAGGCGGCUUUUUAAGUCGGAUGUGAAAUCCCCGAGCUUAACUUGGGAAUUGCAUUCGAUACUGGGAAGCUAGAGUAUGGGAGAGGAUGGUAGAAUUCCAGGUGUAGCGGUGAAAUGCGUAGAGAUCUGGAGGAAUACCGAUGGCGAAGGCAGCCAUCUGGCCUAAUACUGACGCUGGGGUACGAAAGCAUGGGGAGCAAACAGGAUUAGAUACCCUGGUAGUCCAUGCCGUA
This 806-nucleotide ribosomal RNA is filed under the name uncultured bacterium. RNAcentral describes it as "bacterial SSU rRNA". It matches the Rfam family "Bacterial small subunit ribosomal RNA", at positions 1 to 804 of the family's 1533-position model. The record is from RNAcentral.